AGUUUCCUGGUCUAGCGGUUAUGAUUUUCCGUUAACACCGGAAAGGUUCUGGGUUCGAUUCCCAGGGAAACUA
This 73-nucleotide transfer RNA is filed under the name Penicillium chrysogenum. RNAcentral describes it as "tRNA-Val (AAC) (tRNA-Val-AAC-1 1 to 8)". It matches the Rfam family "tRNA". Rfam says of the family: Transfer RNA (tRNA) molecules are approximately 80 nucleotides in length. Their secondary structure includes four short double-helical elements and three loops (D, anti-codon, and T loops). RNAcentral also lists the same sequence under 8 other names. Lineage: Eukaryota; Fungi; Ascomycota; Eurotiomycetes; Eurotiales; Aspergillaceae. The record is from RNAcentral.